RNAcentral lists this ribosomal RNA (304 nucleotides) under uncultured bacterium. Its description in RNAcentral is "bacterial SSU rRNA". It matches the Rfam family "Bacterial small subunit ribosomal RNA", at positions 29 to 334 of the family's 1533-position model. The record is from RNAcentral.
AUGAGCGCUAGCGGCAGGCCUAACACAUGCAAGUCGAGGGGUAUAAAUAGCUUGCUAUUUUGAGACCGGCGGAUGGGUGCGUAACGCGUAUGCAAUCUACCUUAUACAUUGGGAUAGCCCGGAGAAAUUCGGAUUAAUACCUUAUAGUAUAUUAAAGUGGCAUCAUUUUAAUAUUAAAGAUUUAUCGGUAUAAGAUGAGCAUGCGUCCCAUUAGUUAGUUGGUGUGGUAACGGCAUACCAAGACUAUGAUGGGUCGGGGUCCUGAGAGGGAGAUCCCCCACACUGGUACUGAGACACGGACCAG